GGGCAAGGCAGAAGGCUGAAGAUUAAAUUGAAUCGUCUGGUUUGUUUUAUAAAGGAGGGGUGGAUCUCUCUCUCUCUCUCUCUCUCUCUCUCUCUCUCAUCCUCUUGUGUCUUCAUUUUUCCACUUACUCUAAAACAAGGCCUUUUUGUCCGAGACCUCAUCAAACUCACAUGGUUCGGAAGAGAGAGGACGCAGAGGUGGGACAGAACGAUCGCAGGGAGGAUAAAGUGCACAAAGGAGAGCUUCAGACACUCAGGAGAAUGACUUCUUUUGGGUCAGCAGAGCUUUCGGCUGCCUUCUGUUUAUUCUUUCAGCUCCUGAGCGAAGGACAGAGGAACACGGCGUUCCAAUGAAUAAAAAAAAUAAACAAACAAGAACAACAGAGGAACAAGAUUCCAGGACCUGGGAAACCGGAACGGGAUUCUAGAAACUGGAAAACUAGGACAAGUUUGUAGAAGCGGGUUGGAAAAAAUCAUCGGAAAACGCUUUGUAGACUCGGAUAGAGAGCGGAACAAGCUCCUAGAAGCCGGAGAACUGGAACGAGCUUCUAGAAGCCGGAGAACUGGAACGAGGUUCUAGAAGCCGGAGAAUUGGAACGAGGUUCUAGAAGUGGAACGAGUAGAGCGGAACGAGGUUCUAGAAGCCGGAGAACUGGAACGAGCUUCUAGAAGCAGGAGAACUGGAACGAGGUUCCAGAAGUGGAAAGAGAGGAGAAAAGGUUUCCAGAAGCAGUAAGACGGGAACCAAAUUCUAGAGACCAAAAAGACUCUGGCUCUAGUUUCUAGAGCCAGAGAGAUAGUGGAAGAAGGUUCUAGAAUCUGAAAGAUGAUGAAGUAUGAUUCUCGAAGCGGAAAGAUUAGAAGAAAAUUCUAGAAACUAGAAGAUUGGAAAAAGACAGUGGAAGAAGAUUCUGGAAUCUGAAAAACUGGAGAUUUUUUUCAUCCACAAUUUUGGAAAAAAGUGGAAAGGCAGCCGAAGGAGGUUCUAAUAGCAGAAAGACAGUGGAACACAUUUUUGGAAAAUUUACACCUCCGGACCUCAAACCACAAGGCGGAAUAUAAGGACCCUAAAGGAACAUGGAGAACGGAAAAACGGAAGGUGAAGUUGAUGAGCCCGAGUCACCGAACCCAGUUUUCUAGCGAG
Molecule: long non-coding RNA, 1143 nt
Organism: Ictalurus punctatus (channel catfish)
Lineage: Eukaryota; Metazoa; Chordata; Actinopteri; Siluriformes; Ictaluridae
Source: Ensembl